ACAAUUCAGUUUCCAUUAACAGUGUUAUAAUCGUGUUAAAUUCUCCAAAGAAUCGGAAAAAAUAACACACUCUGUCUCCUAAACUACAAUAGUGUAACAUAUAAGUAACAGAGCGCUACAAUAUCGUAAUAAAAUAUCAACAGAACGCGUUUCAUCUGUAUAAGUGACGGUCACAACACAGCUCGUUAAAAAUGAAUAGAUUGUAUUUUAUAAUUUUUGUUUUCGCGCUUAUAGCAUCGGUGAUGGCAUUAGAUUCCCGUUGUUUUGAGCCAAUAGUCACAGGACCAUGCCGGGCUUCGCAAACCAAAUACGCGUUCACCGGUAGAGGAUGCGACACCUUCG
Molecule: long non-coding RNA, 342 nt
Organism: Ostrinia nubilalis (European corn borer)
Lineage: Eukaryota; Metazoa; Arthropoda; Insecta; Lepidoptera; Crambidae
Exons: 3
Source: RefSeq, a predicted model, not a curated record